GAAAUUGAGUUCGCACUGCUACUACCUCAGCAACUGCUUUCGCCUCCUGAAUAAUACUUUCCCACGAUUUUUCAUGUACUCCGGCAUUUUUGAUAUACUUUUCUAAUGUAGGGUUUCCUAUAGGAAAUUUUCCAACUAAAAUAAUGGCGGUUGUUGCAGGCCUCAAUUUUCUUGCAAAAAGCCGGAAAUUACGUCUUUUUGAAAA
Molecule: long non-coding RNA, 205 nt
Organism: Erpetoichthys calabaricus (reedfish)
Lineage: Eukaryota; Metazoa; Chordata; Cladistia; Polypteriformes; Polypteridae
Exons: 2
Source: RefSeq, a predicted model, not a curated record